This is a long non-coding RNA of Ictalurus punctatus (channel catfish), 314 nucleotides long. NCBI's taxonomy places the organism in Eukaryota, Metazoa, Chordata, Actinopteri, Siluriformes, Ictaluridae. The record is from Ensembl.
CAAACUGGAACCGUGCUCGUAAAGGCUAGUCUCGUGUUCCAGUCAAACAAAACCAACGCUGAUGAGAUCAAAGGGCUGUUUAUGAACGCGACCGCUGCCGAUAAGGAAAUAAACGGCCUUAAAGUCAACCCUAAUUUCACACAAGGUAAGCAUUAAGCUUCAUUAUGUCCUGAGUAUUAAUAUAUUUAUAAAAAGCAUUAUUAUUUGUGGAGCUUCCAGUAAAGCAUUAGCCAGGAAUCUAUCACUCUGGUCUUAAAAUAUCACAUUAUGAAAACAUUUCUGAUUUUAGACAGUUAAGAUGAAGCACCUCAGGA